Molecule: ribosomal RNA, 501 nt
Filed under: uncultured bacterium
Lineage: Bacteria
Description: bacterial SSU rRNA
Rfam family: Bacterial small subunit ribosomal RNA
Source: RNAcentral
GAUGAACGCUAGCGGCAGGCUUAACACAUGCAAGUCGAGGGGCAGCGCGGGUAGCAAUACCUGGCGGCGACCGGCAAACGGGUGCGGAACACGUACGCAAUCUGCCCUUACCCGGAGCAUAGCCCGAAGAAAUUCGGAUUAACUCUCCAUAAGAUAGUAAAAUGGCAUCAUUUAGCUAUUAAAAAUUUAUUUGGUAAGGAUGAGCGUGCGUCCCAUUAGCUAGUUGGUAGGGUAACGGCCUACCAAGGCGACGAUGGGUAGCUGGUGUGAGAGCACGACCAGCCACACGGGCACUGAGACACGGGCCCGACUCCUACGGGAGGCAGCAGUGAGGAAUAUUGGUCAAUGGACGCAAGUCUGAACCAGCCAUGCCGCGUGAAGGAUGAAGGCCUUCUGGGUUGUAAACUUCUUUUAUGUGGGAAGAAACCUCUGAUUUCUAUUAGAGUUGACGGUACCAUAGGAAUAAGCACCGGCUAACUCCGUGCCAGCAGCCGCGGUAAU